CCUACGGGUGGCAGCAGUGGGGAAUAUUGGACAAUGGGCGAAAGCCUGAUCCAGCCAUGCCGCGUGUGUGAAGAAGGCCUUCGGGUUGUAAAGCACUUUCAGUGGGGAAGAAAGCCUUGGGGCUAAUACCCUCGAGGAAGGACAUCACUCACAGAAGAAGCACCGGCUAACUCCGUGCCAGCAGCCGCGGUAAUACGGAGGGUGCGAGCGUUAAUCGGAAUUACUGGGCGUAAAGCGCGCGUAGGCGGUCUGAUAAGCCGGUUGUGAAAGCCCCGGGCUCAACCUGGGAACGGCAUCCGGAACUGUCAGGCUAGAGUGCAGGAGAGGAAGGUAGAAUUCCCGGUGUAGCGGUGAAAUGCGUAGAGAUCGGGAGGAAUACCAGUGGCGAAGGCGGCCUUCUGGACUGACACUGACGCUGAGGUGCGAAAGCGUGGGUAGCAAACAGGAUUAGAUACCCUAGUAGUC
RNAcentral lists this ribosomal RNA (465 nucleotides) under Vreelandella stevensii. Its description in RNAcentral is "partial 16S ribosomal RNA". It matches the Rfam family "Bacterial small subunit ribosomal RNA", at positions 338 to 795 of the family's 1533-position model. Lineage: Bacteria; Pseudomonadati; Pseudomonadota; Gammaproteobacteria; Oceanospirillales; Halomonadaceae. The record is from RNAcentral.